Molecule: ribosomal RNA, 196 nt
Filed under: uncultured bacterium
Lineage: Bacteria
Description: partial 16S ribosomal RNA
Rfam family: Bacterial small subunit ribosomal RNA
Source: RNAcentral
ACGCUCGACACCUACGGAGGCAGCAGUGGGGAAUAUUGCACAAUGGGGGAAACCCUGAUGCAGCAACGCCGCGUGAAGGAAGACGGUUUUCGGAUUGUAAACUUCUGUUCUUAGUGAAGAUAGUGACGGUAGCUAAGGAGCAAGCCACGGCUAACUACGUGCAGCAGCCGCGGUAAUCUGAGCGGGCUGGCAAGGC